GAUGAACGCUCGCGAUAGGCUUAACACAUGCAAGUCGAGGGGCAGCACAAGGUAGCUUGCUAUCUGGGUGGCGACCGGCGCACGGGUGCGUAACGCGUAUGCAACUUGCCCUAUACAGGAGGAUAACCCGUCGAAAGACGGACUAAUACUGCGUAUGCUCACAACUUGGCAUCAAGUGGUGAGGAAAGAAAUUCGGUAUAGGAUAGGCAUGCGUCCCAUUAGCUUGUUGGUGAGGUAACGGCUCACCAAGGCAACGAUGGGUAGGGGAACUGAGAGGUUUAUCCCCGACACUGGUACUGAGACACGGACCAGACUCCUACGGGAGGCAGCAGUGAGGAAUAUUGGUCAAUGGGCGCGAGCCUGAACCAGCCAAGUCGCGUGAAGGAUGACUGUCUUAUGGAUUGUAAACUUCUUUUAUACGGGAAUAACAAGAGUCACGUGUGACUCCCUGCAUGUACCGUAUGAAUAAGCAUCGGCUAACUCCGUG
Molecule: ribosomal RNA, 487 nt
Filed under: uncultured bacterium
Lineage: Bacteria
Description: partial 16S ribosomal RNA
Rfam family: Bacterial small subunit ribosomal RNA
Source: RNAcentral